RNAcentral lists this ribosomal RNA (265 nucleotides) under Bacillus altitudinis. RNAcentral describes it as "partial 16S ribosomal RNA". It matches the Rfam family "Bacterial small subunit ribosomal RNA", at positions 553 to 818 of the family's 1533-position model. Lineage: Bacteria; Bacillati; Bacillota; Bacilli; Caryophanales; Bacillaceae. The record is from RNAcentral.
AUUGGGCGUAAGGGCUCGCAGGCGGUUUCUUAAGUCUGAUGUGAAAGCCCCCGGCUCAACCGGGGAGGGUCAUUGGAAACUGGGAAACUUGAGUGCACAAGAGGAGAGUGGAAUUCCACGUGUAGCGGUGAAAUGCGUAGAGAUGUGAAGGAACACCACUGGCGAAGGCGACUCUCUGGUCUGUAACUGAGGCUGAGGAGCGAAAGCGUGGGGAGAGGACAGAAUUAUAUACCCUGGUAGUCCACGCCGUAAACGAUGAUUGCUA